UCGCGUUUUGCGGCCUGGGAGCCGCCGCUUGGCCUGGCGGGGUUGGGGCGCAGGGACUGGCUACUUGCCCCUGUUUGUAGAAGUCGCUGCCUGUACUUUCUGUCAGCCAAGUCGUGACUUUCCUGUCACGAAAACUUCAUUAGUUAUUUCGGCACCCUCCUAUCUUCGCUUGUACAUAUUAGCCAGCUCUUUACUGAUCUCGGUGUUUAUCCAAUUAGUUGUGACAUACAGAUCCUUUCUCCUGCACCGUCUUGUUUACAAACCUAAUUUAAACACAGUGCUUGUUAAAACAGGCCUUCGCAGACUAGGACAGAAAGAUUUGAAAUAGAUUUUGUGAGCAACAAACUGCUAUUACCGAACAGUUUUCAGAGAGACCAAAUUCUCACUAAGUUAUUUUUGCUGGAAUUCACUGUGGGGAUUCACUGUGCUGGAUCUAGCUUGAGCGUGUGCUGCAUCGCUGGUGGUCUUCUGUCUUCAAGAGCUUAAAGUCAGAGCUGCUGCUGCUGGUCUAAGUCGUCGCAAAUGCAGUGUCUCCAGAUGAAUGCAAAGAUUGCGUUCCACCACCUCCGCUGGCGCAUCGGUAGUGUUUUAGACUGUUUCUGCUGGAAACACCUGCCCCGUCAUCUUGCUGUGACUUCAGAUACAGGAUGAUACGUACGUUUUUAAUGGAAGUAAGCGGCAGACCGCGACUUUCUUGCUGGCCUUGAAGAUGCAAGUUGAAUCUUUGGUCCUGAGGAUGCUUGUCUUGGACAACCUGGUGCAGUCCAAAGACCCUGAGCCGGCUUCACCGAGAUGCUUCAGGAUGCUGAGGUGCUCCAUUGCUCUGUGGCGUUCAGGAGCUUCACUCACCAGCUCAGUUUUCACGGGCCUGUUAAAUGCCUGAGACCUGAUUAAGGGGCAAAACAUGAACUCGAGACUCCUCAUAAGAUUUCAGCUCCAGGAUAGAGCAGAUAUCAUACAAAAAAGCUAGUAAUGGGGCAGAGUCUGGAGAGCAAGAUUAUCUCCCUGAGCCUGAUG
Molecule: long non-coding RNA, 1017 nt
Organism: Struthio camelus australis
Lineage: Eukaryota; Metazoa; Chordata; Aves; Struthioniformes; Struthionidae
Source: RefSeq, a predicted model, not a curated record